Molecule: ribosomal RNA, 560 nt
Filed under: uncultured bacterium
Lineage: Bacteria
Description: bacterial SSU rRNA
Rfam family: Bacterial small subunit ribosomal RNA
Source: RNAcentral
GCGCAAUGGGGGAAACCCUGACGCAGCAACGCCGCGUGAGUGAUGAAGGCCUUCGGGUCGUAAAGCUCUGUCAGAGGGGAAGAAAUGCAGGGGUGCUAAUAUCAUCUUUGCUUGACGGUACCCUCAAAGGAAGCACCGGCUAACUCCGUGCCAGCAGCCGCGGUAAUACGGAGGGUGCGAGCGUUGUUCGGAAUUAUUGGGCGUAAAGCGCGUGUAGGCGGUUUGGUAAGUCUGAUGUGAAAGCCCCGGGCUCAACCUGGGAAGUGCAUUGGAAACUGUCAGACUUGAAUACGGGAGAGGGUAGUGGAAUUCCUAGUGUAGGAGUGAAAUCCGUAGAUAUUAGGAGGAACACCGGUGGCGAAGGCGGCUACCUGGACCGAUAUUGACGCUGAGACGCGAAAGCGUGGGGAGCAAACAGGAUUAGAUACCCUGGUAGUCCACGCCGUAAACGAUGAGUACUAGGUGUUGCGGGUAUUGACCCCUGCAGUGCCGCAGCUAACGCAUUAAGUACUCCGCCUGGGAAGUACGGUCGCAAGACUAAAACUCAAAUGAAUUGACGG